RNAcentral lists this ribosomal RNA (253 nucleotides) under uncultured bacterium. RNAcentral describes it as "partial 16S ribosomal RNA". It matches the Rfam family "Bacterial small subunit ribosomal RNA", at positions 524 to 776 of the family's 1533-position model. The record is from RNAcentral.
UACAGAGGUCCCAAGCGGUGUUCGGAUUCACUGGGCGUAAAGGGUGCGUAGGUGGCGAGGUAAGUUCGAUGUGAAAUCCCCGGGCUCAACCCGGGAACUGCAUUGAAAACUAUCUCGCUAGAGGAUCGGAGGGGAGACUGGAAUUCUUGGUGUAGCAGUGAAAUGCGUAGAUAUCAAGAGGAACACCAGUGGCGAAGGCGAGUCUCUAGACGAUACCUGACACUGAGGCACGAAAGCUAGGGGAGCAAACAGG